CUUUACUACCCAGUAACAGCAGAACACAUGGAGCUACUCAACAGUAGAAGAACCUCAAAUGUGGACUGGAAUGACAUGAGGACAAAGACUAUUCUGCUUCCCCUAAAAAGAAACAAAAACAGAGCCUAUAGCAGGAGUCAUAGUAUUCAUGGAUUGAGGCAGUAGCAUGUACCAUCAUUGAGAAUUUAUUUUUGAAGACAGGAGAAACAUCUUCAGAGAUCCUAGAGGGUACACACCUUU
Long non-coding RNA from Onychomys torridus (southern grasshopper mouse), 240 nucleotides. RefSeq lists it as uncharacterized. The record is from RefSeq and is a predicted model, not a curated record. The transcript is spliced from 3 exons. NCBI's taxonomy places the organism in Eukaryota, Metazoa, Chordata, Mammalia, Rodentia, Cricetidae.